This 84-nucleotide transfer RNA is filed under the name Bacteriophage sp. RNAcentral's name for it is "tRNA-Thr". It matches the Rfam family "tRNA". Rfam says of the family: Transfer RNA (tRNA) molecules are approximately 80 nucleotides in length. The record is from RNAcentral.
GCCAGAGGCGCCAAACGGUUAGGCAACAGAUUUGUAAUCUGUCGUGGCAACACAUAGUGGGUUCGACUCCCAUCUCUGGCUCCA